RNAcentral lists this ribosomal RNA (1434 nucleotides) under uncultured organism. RNAcentral's name for it is "SSU rRNA". It matches the Rfam family "Bacterial small subunit ribosomal RNA". The record is from RNAcentral.
GACAGGCUUAACACAUGCAAGUCGAGGGGCAUCAGGAAUAAAGCUUGCUUUCUUUGCUGGCGACCGGCGCACGGGUGAGUAACACGUAUCCAACCUGCCCUUUACUCGGGGAUAGCCUUUCGAAAGAAAGAUUAAUACCCGAUAGCAUAAUGAUUCCGCAUGGUUUCAUUAUUAAAGGAUUCCGGUAAAGGAUGGGGAUGCGUUCCAUUAGGUUGUUGGUGAGGUAACGGCCCACCAAGCCUUCGAUGGAUAGGGGUUCUGAGAGGAAGGUCCCCCACAUUGGAACUGAGACACGGUCCAAACUCCUACGGGAGGCAGCAGUGAGGAAUAUUGGUCAAUGGGCGCUAGCCUGAACCAGCCAAGUAGCGUGAAGGAUGAAGGCUCUAUGGGUCGUAAACUUCUUUUAUAUAAGAAUAAAGUGCAGUAUGUAUACUGUUUUGUAUGUAUUAUAUGAAUAAGGAUCGGCUAACUCCGUGCCAGCAGCCGCGGUAAUACGGAGGAUCCGAGCGUUAUCCGGAUUUAUUGGGUUUAAAGGGAGCGUAGGUGGACUGGUAAGUCAGUUGUGAAAGUUUGCGGCUCAACCGUAAAAUUGCAGUUGAUACUGUCAGUCUUGAGUACAGUAGAGGUGGGCGGAAUUCGUGGUGUAGCGGUGAAAUGCUUAGAUAUCACGAAGAACUCCGAUUGCGAAGGCAGCUCACUGGACUGCAACUGACACUGAUGCUCGAAAGUGUGGGUAUCAAACAGGAUUAGAUACCCUGGUAGUCCACACAGUAAACGAUGAAUACUCGCUGUUUGCGAUAUACAGUAAGCGGCCAAGCGAAAGCAUUAAGUAUUCCACCUGGGGAGUACGCCGGCAACGGUGAAACUCAAAGGAAUUGACGGGGGCCCGCACAAGCGGAGGAACAUGUGGUUUAAUUCGAUGAUACGCGAGGAACCUUACCCGGGCUUAAAUUGCAGUGGAAUGAUGUGGAAACAUGUCAGUGAGCAAUCACCGCUGUGAAGGUGCUGCAUGGUUGUCGUCAGCUCGUGCCGUGAGGUGUCGGCUUAAGUGCCAUAACGAGCGCAACCCUUAUCUUUAGUUACUAACAGGUUAUGCUGAGGACUCUGGAGAGACUGCCGUCGUAAGAUGUGAGGAAGGUGGGGAUGACGUCAAAUCAGCACGGCCCUUACGUCCGGGGCUACACACGUGUUACAAUGGGGGGUACAGAAGGCAGCUAGCGGGUGACCGUAUGCUAAUCCCAAAAGCCUCUCUCAGUUCGGAUCGAAGUCUGCAACCCGACUUCGUGAAGCUGGAUUCGCUAGUAAUCGCGCAUCAGCCACGGCGCGGUGAAUACGUUCCCGGGCCUUGUACACACCGCCCGUCAAGCCAUGGGAGCCGGGGGUACCUGAAGUACGUAACCGCAAGGAUCGUCCUAGGGUAAAACUGGUGACUGG